UACGUAGGUGGCGAGCGUUAUCCGGAUUUAUUGGGCGUAAAGCGUGCGCAGGCGGCUUGUUAAGUCUAAGAUUAAAGCCCGGAGCUUAACUCCGGUUCGUCUUAGAAACUGGCAGGCUUGAGUAUGGUAGAGGCAAAUGGAAUUCCUAGUGUAGCGGUGGAAUGCGUAGAUAUUAGGAGGAACACCAGUGGCGAAGGCGGUUUGCUGGGCCAUCACUGACGCUCAUGCACGAAAGCGUGGGGAGCAAAUAGG
This 252-nucleotide ribosomal RNA is filed under the name uncultured bacterium. RNAcentral describes it as "partial 16S ribosomal RNA". It matches the Rfam family "Bacterial small subunit ribosomal RNA", at positions 524 to 776 of the family's 1533-position model. The record is from RNAcentral.